CUUCCAACCAGAAGAAGGCUUGCAAACUCUCAGAAUUCUUAGACCCAGAUAUUUGAAGAUCUGGAAUUCUGAAAUUCGGGAAGGUCACUCUUGGUGACCCAGAGCUGGUGUGUGCCAUCUGCUUUUCCUGCCUGCAGCUCCUUCUCCCUCUAACCAGGAAGCCCCCCCCCAUUCCCCUCACCUGGAUCCCUGCCCGCUGCCUGGGGCAGCCCCUCCGGUACUCACGGCUUGCGGCAGUGGGCAGCUGUGAGCAGCCAGCGGUCACUGAUCAGCGUCGCCCCACAGAAGAGCCGGAAAAAUCGACCUUUGCCUCCCUUGGGCAAUCAAAACCUUCUUCCAGAUUUCCACUGCUUGCCAACUUGAUUCUCAAGAAAGCGCCCCCACAAGGGUGCUGUGGCUGAAAGCACCAUCGCUGGACCUGGCCUGUCUGCCUGUCAUCUCAGUGUGGGCACAGAUGAUGGCUGAGUGGCUUGUGUGACCGGUUCAUUAAAAAAUGUGCCAAGUGGCUUCUGCACCUGCCAGUCAGGCUGAUGACCUCACCUGAGAGACCAGGCUGACAUUUCCUGGGUGUGCUUACAAGGCGUGAUGGCGAUGAACCAACUGAAUUGAAGGGAGCCGGAUACCAAUGCCUGGGUCCAGACCUCACCCGCCCAUCUGUGGGCUCCGGGAGCCAGGGACCUUGCUGCACCCACUUCCAUGCAGCCAGGUGACACACAGGCCCAUGAAUCACAGGAGGCCCAGUCUGCAAGGGGCAUCCACCUCACGCUGGCCAACUCCCUCAUUUCAAGUGAGGAAGCUCACAGAGGACAGUGACUCAUAAGAGGUCACACAGCCGGUCCACCUAAGGACCCAAAGGCCCUAGUUCCAGCGCUAGGCCCUGAGCUUCUUUCCCGCAAGGGCCGGCUUCUUACACCUCAGCAUCAGCACCCCAAAUCCUAUCAGGAAGGCUUUGGGCGGCUGCCUCCUACUCUCAAAUCUCCAGCUGUCACUCACGGCCCUUGGCUGUGGUGCUGGGAACAAUUAUGUCACCAGCAGGUGCACGUAGUGCCCUCGCGGUGACUUUGACAGCUACCACUUAUUAUGCAUGCGCUCCGCACAAGGCGUUCUCCGGAUGUCCACACGGUAAUCCAGGACAGAAGAUUUCUAACCUGAACCACUGCAAACUGAGGAUUGUCCAUACUUAAAUCAACCAAGGAAUGGUCUGCUACUUUCCCAAAUGACAGCAGUGAUCUGAUCACACCAGCUGGGUGUUAAAACCACAUGGUGUUAAGUACCUGUUUUACACCCACUGGAUGAUGGAGAAGCCGAGGCCCCGACACAGCAAGUGACUCUGAGGUGACACAGCCCAGUGAGCGACAGGUGUUUCCUGACAGCAAAACUAAGAGCACACUCUGUAUGUGUUCGGGACAGGAGAUCUUCUUUCCAGUUAUUUUGAACUUGGGAUUGGUUGAAUCUGAGGAUGCGGAACAGGAAAGCACUGAAGACUGGGCUGCCACGUUUCCCUCUGGAAUCCAGAGAUGAUGGAGUACUCAUCCCUGACUUUCACUUGGAUAAGAUUCUUAUCCAUUCAUUCUGUCUUUUCAAAUUUACCAACUCCAUAAAGACAAAGGUUGCCCCUGCAAGGGCAAUCUUGAGGGUUUUAUGGGCCUCCUCAUCUCAAGUGUCGUCCUGCAACGUGUGUCCUUUACCUGGUCUCCUGGAUGACAAGCUUUCCACAUUUUUGCACUUUUGCGGGGAGCCUCAGCAUGGUGCGGAGGUUCUGGUUGGGAUGGGGGGAGAUAGGAGGGUUGUGGAAGGAGCAGGACAAAGAAUCCAGCGGCAGUGUGAAUGUGCUCCAGUCCCCCAGGGUAAGUGAAUUAUGAUGCAUUUCAAAUACAUCCAACAAUAAAGAACAGAGAGACUGCUGUGGUCAGCAGAGAGACACA
Molecule: long non-coding RNA, 1925 nt
Organism: Cavia porcellus (domestic guinea pig)
Lineage: Eukaryota; Metazoa; Chordata; Mammalia; Rodentia; Caviidae
Exons: 10
Source: RefSeq, a predicted model, not a curated record